RNAcentral lists this ribosomal RNA (460 nucleotides) under uncultured bacterium. RNAcentral describes it as "partial 16S ribosomal RNA". It matches the Rfam family "Bacterial small subunit ribosomal RNA", at positions 338 to 795 of the family's 1533-position model. The record is from RNAcentral.
CCUACGGGCGGCAGCAGUGAGGAAUAUUGGUCAAUGGACGAGAGUCUGAACCAGCCAAGUAGCGUGAAGGAUGACCGCCCUAUGGGUUGUAAACUUCUUUUAUAUGGGAAUAAAAUGUUCCACGUGUGGGAUUUUGUAUGUACCAUAUGAAUAAGGAUCGGCUAACUCCGUGCCAGCAGCCGCGGUAAUACGGAGGCUCCGAGCGUUAUCCGGAUUUAUUGGGUUUAAAGGGAGCGUAGGUGGAUUGUUAAGUCAGUUGUGAAAGUUUGCGGCUCAACCGUAAAAUUGCAGUUGAAACUGGCAGUCUUGAGUACAGUAGAGGUGGGCGGAAUUCGUGGUGUAGCGGUGAAAUGCUUAGAGAUCACGAAGAACUCCGAUUGCGAAGGCAGUUCACUGGACUGCAACUGACACUGAGGCUCGAAAGUGUGGGUAUCAAACAGGAUUAGAUACCCUUGUAGUC